RNAcentral lists this ribosomal RNA (497 nucleotides) under uncultured bacterium. RNAcentral describes it as "partial 16S ribosomal RNA". It matches the Rfam family "Bacterial small subunit ribosomal RNA", at positions 28 to 507 of the family's 1533-position model. The record is from RNAcentral.
GACGAACGCUGGCGGCGUGCCUAAUACAUGCAAGUAGAACGCUGAAGAGAGGAGCUUGCUCUUCUUGGAUGAGUUGCGAACGGGUGAGUAACGCGUAGGUAACCUGCCUUGUAGCGGGGGAUAACUAUUGGAAACGAUAGCUAAUACCGCAUAACAAUGGAUGACACAUGUCAUUUAUUUGAAAGGGGCAAUUGUUCCACUACAAGAUGGACCUGCGUUGUAUUAGCUAGUAGGUGAGGUAAUGGCUCACCUAGGCGACGAUACAUAGCCGACCUGAGAGGGUGAUCGGCCACACUGGGACUGAGACACGGCCCAGACUCCUACGGGGGGCAGCAGUAGGGAAUCUUCGGCAAUGGGGGCAACCCUGACCGAGCAACGCCGCGUGAGUGAAGAAGGUUUUCGGAUCGUAAAGCUCUGUUGUAAGUCAAGAACGGGUGUGAGAGUGGAAAGUUCACACUGUGACGGUAGCUUACCAGAAAGGGACGGCUAACUACGUG